RNAcentral lists this ribosomal RNA (119 nucleotides) under Pteropus alecto (black flying fox). Lineage: Eukaryota; Metazoa; Chordata; Mammalia; Chiroptera; Pteropodidae. The record is from RNAcentral.
GUCUACGGCCAUGCUACCCUGAAGAAGCCCAAUUCCCAUCUGAUCUCGGAAGCUAAGAGGAUCGGGCCUGGUUAGUACUUUGAUGAAAGACCACCUAGGAAGACCAGGUGCUAUAGGUG